This 430-nucleotide ribosomal RNA is filed under the name uncultured bacterium. Its description in RNAcentral is "partial 16S ribosomal RNA". It matches the Rfam family "Bacterial small subunit ribosomal RNA", at positions 354 to 796 of the family's 1533-position model. The record is from RNAcentral.
GUGGGGAAUAUUGCACAAUGGGCGCAAGCCUGAUGCAGCAACGCCGCGUGAGGGACGACGGCCUUCGGGUUGUAAACCUCUUUUAGCAGGGAAGAAGCGAAAGUGACGGUACCUGCAGAAAAAGCACCGGCUAACUACGUGCCAGCAGCCGCGGUAAUACGUAGGGUGCAAGCGUUGUCCGGAAUUAUUGGGCGUAAAGAGCUCGUAGGCGGUUUGUCGCGUCUGCUGUGAAAACCCGAGGCUCAACCUCGGGCCUGCAGUGGGUACGGGCAGACUAGAGUGCGGUAGGGGAGAGUGGAAUUCCUGGUGUAGCGGUGGAAUGCGCAGAUAUCAGGAGGAACACCGAUGGCGAAGGCAGAUCUCUGGGCCGUAACUGACGCUGAGGAGCGAAAGCGUGGGGAGCGAACAGGAUUAGAAACCCGUGUAGUCC